GACGAACGCUGGCGGCGUGCUUAACACAUGCAAGUCAAGGGGGCCCGCAAGGGUAACCGGCGAACGGGUGCGUAACACGUGAGCAAUCUGCCUCGAUGUGGGGGAUAGCCGGCCCAACGGCCGGGUAAUACCGCAUACGCUCUCUGGGUGGCAUCACUUGGAGAGGAAACAUUUUUUGGCAUUGAGAGGAGCUCGCGGCCUAUCAGCUAGUUGGUGGGUAAUGGCCUACCAAGGCUUUGACGGGUAGCUGGUCUGAGAGGAUGGCCAGCCACAUUGGGACUGAGAUACGGCCCAGACUCCUACGGGAGGCAGCAGUGGGAAUAUUGGACAAUGGGCGAAAGCCUGAUCCAGCAAUGCCGCGUGAGUGAAGAAGGCCUCGGUUGGUUAA
This 388-nucleotide ribosomal RNA is filed under the name uncultured bacterium. RNAcentral describes it as "bacterial SSU rRNA". It matches the Rfam family "Bacterial small subunit ribosomal RNA", at positions 28 to 429 of the family's 1533-position model. The record is from RNAcentral.